GAUGAACGCUGGCGGCGUGCCUAAUACAUGCAAGUCGAGCGAACAGACGAGGAGCUUGCUCCUCUGACGUUAGCGGCGGACGGGUGAGUAACACGUGGAUAACCUACCUAUAAGACUGGGAUAACUUCGGGAAACCGGAGCUAAUACCGGAUAAUAUAUUGAACCGCAUGGUUCAAUAGUGAAAGACGGCUUUGCUGUAACUUAUAGAUGGAUCCGCGCCGCAUUAGCUAGUUGGUAAGGUAACGGCUUACCAAGGCAACGAUGCGUAGCCGACCUGAGAGGGUGAUCGGCCACACGGGAACUGAGACACGGUCCAGACUCCUACGGGAGGCAGCAGUAGGGAAUCUUCCGCAAUGGGCGAAAGCCUGACGGAGCAACGCCGCGUGAGUGAUGAAGGUCUUCGGAUCGUAAAACUCUGUUAUUAGGGAAGAACAAAUGUGUAAGUAACUAUGCACGUCUUGACGGUACCUAAUCAGAAAGCCACGGCUAACUACGUG
This 497-nucleotide ribosomal RNA is filed under the name uncultured bacterium. Its description in RNAcentral is "partial 16S ribosomal RNA". It matches the Rfam family "Bacterial small subunit ribosomal RNA", at positions 28 to 507 of the family's 1533-position model. The record is from RNAcentral.